Molecule: long non-coding RNA, 473 nt
Filed under: Homo sapiens (human)
Lineage: Eukaryota; Metazoa; Chordata; Mammalia; Primates; Hominidae
Description: novel transcript
Source: RNAcentral
CAGUCUAUCCGUACAGAGAAAUGCGAUUCAGGAAUGAGAGCCCGACGCAUGGGUGAACCUUGGGCACAUCACGCUGAGUGACAUGAACCUGACACAGAAGGACACGUACUAGGCUUGGUAAGCCCGGAAUCUGAUAGAGGAGCCCAGGUGGCUGGAGGCCCCGAGGAAAGCUGAUGCUGUGGCGGAGCCCGAGGACCAUCUGGAGGUGGAAUUCCUUCUUCCUCCUCAGGAGAGGUCCGUCUUUGUUCUCCUAAGAUCUUCAACUGAUUGGAUGAAGCCCACCACAUCAUGGAGGGUCUUCUGCGUUUCUCAAAGUUCACCAAUUUAAAGGAGCAGGCCGUGGGGCUCUCACAUUCAUCAGCUUCCUGGUUCCUGGAGGCUGGGUCUCACCCGACCUGGAGAGCUGCAAGAGCUCCAUGCUGUCACUGCAGGCCCAGGACUGAAAGAUCACAUUAAACUGUCCUUCCACCUAA